This is a long non-coding RNA of Camelus dromedarius (Arabian camel), 6585 nucleotides long. RefSeq lists it as uncharacterized. The record is from RefSeq and is a predicted model, not a curated record. The transcript has 4 exons. NCBI's taxonomy places the organism in Eukaryota, Metazoa, Chordata, Mammalia, Artiodactyla, Camelidae.
AAAGUGGACUGAAACCGCCCCCGAUCUAAGGUUCCAGCCCCCGUGUGUGGGGUGAUAUUUAAUUUUUGUACCCUGCAGCUGCCGUAGCAUUUACUAGCAGUCUUUCUAAAUAAAAUGAUCUGAAAACGGAAUACUGAAGUAAUUUUGGUUCCUCAGUAAUUAGACACUCUUGGAUGUGAUUAAAAAGAAACUCAAGUUUGUAGUGGUGCGGGGAAAUUAACGUUUGUGUGUGUGAUUGUUUAUGAAUAUAUCGUCCAUUGUGGAGGGACACAGUGUGAGCAAAUGUCAGCGCUGCGUGUUUAUUUCCACAGGAUACUGGCUCUUCCACCCAUCCUGGCACCUGUGUAUUUAUAAAAGAGUGUUUGAAAGUGGAAACAAAAUCCUGACCAAAGAAGGCGUUACCCAUUUUUUGGAGCUGUGUGAAACAAGGGUUCUCCCAUUUUCACCAGAAUUUUCUGAGGUAAUGACAGUGAUUCUGUCCACGCGUUGCCUCUGUCAAAGGACGAAAGGCGAAGGCAUCUGUUGCAGCAGAUGAGAUCUUCAGAAAUAAAUACUAGGGCUCUAACAUUACGAGUAACAUUUUACAGAUAUGCGUACAUCAAAUCCUGUUUCUCUAAACUCAGCUAUCGUACUUGGAAAGACUUCCUGUAAUGUAGUUUGUCGACAGGCUGCCGGCCUCGUGACCAGUGUGAAAAAGCAGCUCUUCGGUGUCAGUGUUCUGAGCAGAAGUCAGCAGCAUGAAGACUGCGCCAGAAGCUUGUCGGCGGUCCUGUUCCACGGUCCUGAGUCUCUGAAGUCCUGCUGCCUGUCUCGUGAUGCGGCUCCCCCAGUUCUGAGUCAGUGAAUUGCUAUCCACUGUAUUGAGCAUACAUGGCCUUUUGAGCUGUGGUAUUAGCGUCUACACUUCCAUUUGUCAGAAAGCACCCAAAGCAAAGAGAUUGUGACAAUCACAGCUGUGCUUUCACGUUUUAUAUUAUGGUGCCUGUGAGCCAUACGAUCACUGACUCGGGGAUGGUAAUUGAGCCCCCCUUUAGAGGGAGCCUGAGUAAACUUCCCUCAUUGUCCCACGGCGUGGACGGUGCUGCACUAGGCGUCGCUUCCCUUUGUUCCCCAGCCUCUUGCUCUCCUGUGAGCUUGCUUUUGUCUAGUGAUGGUUUUGAGGAUAGACCUUUAACUUCCAGGCACAGGGGCUUACAUUUUCUCUCGAGUAUCUUUUUGUUUUUCCUUUGUUACUACCUUUAUUUUCCACCAUGUGUUCCUCCUUUGGAUUCCUUCCUUCCUUCUUAACAUGUGUAUCGUCUUCUCAGUGUUCCGUAGGUUUUUAUCAGGCGGUGAAGUUCGGUGUUCUGUCAUUCUGGUGGAAUUAAGGUGUCCUCCAAGGCUGCCAUAAGCUAACCUCCAGCAGAAGAGAUGAACUUUGCUUAUAACGGCUCUUCUGUAGCCUGUGCAGGAUGUGCAGGUAGUUUCCUGUUAAAGUUUAUUCAGAGGACGACAAGUAGACAUUGGUGUACUGUCCCCAUUCUGCUUCUGUCUAAGGCUUUGGCAAACAUCCCAAGAUGUAAAGCUCUGGGUAUAGAAGGCCUUCUUGCCCUCAGGAGAGAAUGUCACCGUCCGACGUCUCAACUUUUCUCAUGUCUGUGAGGCAAGAGGACCCCUUAGGAUGACGGACUUCACUGUGGACAGAGGCUCACUCACUCUGUUAGAAGUCGCCUGUAUCAAAGACGCGAAAAGCAGCUGGCAGAAAGACUGGCUGCCCAGGUGGAAAUGAAGUGCCAGCUCAUCGACCGGCUUUACGCGGGUAGACAGGAAUGUGCCAGGGUGGAGACAGCUUUGAAGAACGCUGGGCGAGAGAAGGAGCCAGCAAACAUACCCGGCCUCGCUGCCGCUUACAGACACUUGGUGUCCGUCAACCUGAGUUCCAGGAAGGAAGUCACUUGUGUCAUCGAAGAACUGAGGAAAGAGAGAUUCCCUGCAGUUGAUUCAAGCAGAGAUGGCGGAGAUGCAGAGAGUGCUGGCGUUCCUGGAGGAGGUCACCACAAGCAGCACAUCGCAAGGGGCUGUUCCCACCGAGCCGGGAGACCCUGCGCCAAGCCCUGCUGGUCCCUCUCCCAGGAGCGGGCCCUCGUGUUAAAGCCGCGCUGUGCCCUCCCCUCUCACCCAGGCCUCCCAAGCUGCCGGGCUGCGGGCACUCACCCGGUCAGAUCUCCUCCUGCGCUGCCCUGAGGCCAGUGGAUGGAGGGCAGUCCCCUCCUUUGGACCAGAGUUCCUGCAGCUGUACCCGUGAGCACAGCAGUGAACACCUGCACGGUCAACUUCUCCAUCUUCAAUGUAUUCGAAUUCCCAGAACACACCAAGGAACGUGGGACUUUCUCAGUAUUCACAGACUGCUUGGAUUGUCUCUAAUUGGCAAUGAAGGAAAUGUGUUUAAGAGACUGAUCUUUUACUCAGUUUGACCUUCCUUGCACCCCAUUUCUCAAGGCAGUUUUAGUAACUAUUAUACAUCAGCUGUGUAAGAGAACUGUAUAUACAGGUUUCUGUACACAAAUAUUGCAGUGUCAUUUGAUAAUAUGUGUACUUUAUCUGUAAAGGCUUUUAGUUGGCCACGGUAUUCUUUCUAGAGUUAAAAUCUUAAAAGUCAUCAGUUUAAGCUAAAGAAAUAUUUAUUCCUGAGUUUUGUAUUUAAAAAAAACCAACAAAGCCUUUGAGAUGAUAAUAGAGUAUGCUUGUAAGAGUUUUUAUUGAAUAGUUAUAUUCUGUGAUAAGGAUAGAUACACUUAAAAAUAAAUUUGCUAAAUUGCAUGGAGAUUGUUUCUUUUUCCUGCAAUAACGCUGCAGUAUGAGUUUUCUGACCAAGAAGAAGUCCACCUGGACAACUUGCGGGAACCUCCACCCCCCUGCCCCUCCUGUCUCGCUUGCCAUCUUGCACUCACACGUCAGUGGAAAGCCAGGGCAGGGUUGGGGUUUUCUUUUCAUACAGAAUUAAGUUUUAGGCCCGCAGGUAGUACCGUUAUUCACAGACGACGUGCUCUCCCUGUGGAAUGGGCGCAAAGUGGUUUUGAUCAUGGUGGAAGGGACGGAGCUCAUAACACUUUUUUAAUGGAGGGAAUCACAUGAAUAAAUGACAGUGGGAGCACCAUGAUGAGGUGUAUGACAUUUCCUUGAAUUGAUUAAAAAAAAGUUGUGCUUGGGUUGGAGAAGAUAAAUGAACGUAAAAUGUAGUCCUGUCUUCCUGUUGAGGAGGACAGGAUGAUUCCAAACACAUUCCAGGUGAAACAGAAGCGGUGGCGCUUCAGAGGUGACACACAUACAAGGACAAAGAAGAGGAGCGGAAGCAGGGGAAUGUGGACUGGUCUUGGCAGAAGCGGUCCUGAAGCCCUCUUCCAGGAAGGGACACCUGAGCAUGAGGGACACCUGGAGAGAAGCUCUGUGGGUUGAGGGGACAGUACAGGUGAUCGCUCUGAAGGAGUUGUCAUGGUCACACUGUGUGUGAGGACCAGUCAGACUCAGCGUCUCCGGGAUGCAGUGACAGAUGGGAGGCCAUGGCUGUACCUCACUGACCUGCCCUUAGAGGUGCUUUCUCGGGUAGAAGGAGCCCCGGCUUGGAGGGGGAGGGAGCAGAAGGAGCGACUCAGCCUGAAGCCUCCGCUGCCUGGAAGCAGGGCCUGGUGUCCUUGCUCAGAGCUGAGUUGUGCAGCUGGAGGGGCCCCGGUGGGUGGGGCCAGGGGCAGGGCCUGGGUGUGUCAUGUAAAGAGGCCUGGGUGACAUGUGCUCCAGGGAAUGGAGCAGGGGAUGCUGUGGCAGGAAACCUGGGGGGCAGGGACUCGAGUGGCCCUUCCCGGCUCCAUGGGUCACUCUUAGAUGCCCUGAAGGCCUCCACCCCUGACCUGGCCUCCUCCCUGCCUCAGGUGUCAGCUCCAGUGUCUCUGGAGGCCCUGCUUCGCAAACAAAGCUCAAGCUUGAUAAAGAGAGCACAGAGAGUAGAAACUGCAGCCAAUGCUUUAAAACAUGUUUAACUUGUGUUCCAGAACUUCCACUUAUAGGGACCAGUCCUAAAAAAUAGAGAGAUGUAUGGAUGCAGAUGAACCCUUCAGUACAAUUAUGAGAGUAAACAAGUGGAAUUGGCCCAGCUGUGCACAGCUGGGGCUGCAGAGUGAACUGUGGUGUGCGGCCGCUGGUAAAGACUAAGGGAGACGGGACUGACUGCGUGUCCACCUGGGGGGACAUCAGGUUACCGAGGAGCACAGCCCAGGAGCCUCCCCACCCAUCCCCUCCUGUGCACACACACGUACACACACACACACACAUUCACAUACGCACACCACUGUACUUUGCAAGGGAAAAGACUGGAGAAAUGGAAACUGCUUGUUAAGGACAAUUCUUUUGUUUCAGGAUUUUAUUUGAUUUUAUCUUAUUCUAGUUUUAGUGAUAUAGACAUGCAGGGUUGCAUAAAUGUAAGGCCGACAUCGUCGUGACGAGACUGUAUACAUUGGGAAGUGACUGUUGCAAUGACUUGAGUGAAUAUCCGUCUCUUAUGGAUACAAGAGAAAAGAAAGAGAAACCUAUGUGUGGGUGGGGAGGGCUGUGUGUGAACACGCUGUCUUGUCUGCUCAAUUCUGCUGUGAACCUGAAACUGCUCUAAAAGAAUAAAGUCUAGUUUUAAAAAAGAAGGGAAUGGAUUAAUUUGUGAUGUAAUCUUAAAGGACAAAGUAUUCAGGCCUAUAAACAGAUGGAAUAGCAUAUUCAAUUAAAAACCUGUGUCUUGAAAAACAUUACUUAGAGCAAAGGAGACAGACAUCAAAGUGUACAGUGUGAUUUAUUUCAUUUCUAUCAAGUUCAGCCACCAUCCAACUGAUGGAUGCAUGUCAUCAGAGUGUGUGUGCGUUUCCGUUGAAAUGUGACAGAGGUGUACAUUCUUGUGUUCAUGGAUAUCAUUCAAACGUAGGGCUCAUACAUUGAGUUUUUGGAUACUGUUGAGGGUUAGGAAUUUGAAAACUGUGUGAAAUCAUAAACUUAACAUCGAUACGCUUCACUGUAUUUUUAUUCUAUAUAGAGAUAAACACAAAAAGAAAGAGGUAAGAAAAAUCACCAUUGGACAGUAAUGGAGAGAAUGACACUUUGCCUACAGCCCCUCCCCCGUCACAGCCCCUCCCCCACACGCUGGUAACUGACCCAUCCGGGAUGUCAGUUGCUGGCUGGGUUCCGGGUGGAAUGUUGGGGUGUCCCCCUGGGGCUUGUUGUGGCUGGGGCUCCAUGGUAACCGGGCUGAGCCCUGGGAGGGUCCGUGCCAUGGAGGGGCUGCUGUCCUCCAUGGAGCUUGGCUUUGGGCUGAUCCUGAGGGAGCUGAGCGAGGUCCUGGUGUCGCUGCCCCCAGAUGGCCUGUCUGCUCAGCUCAUGCUCCAGAGCCUCCAGUGGGAGACGCUGUUGAGUCUCCCUGUCCUCACCUCCUUGCUGGCUGUCUUAUUUGGCUGCAGGCUCACUCACUCUGUUAGAAGUCGCCUGUAUCAAAGACGCGAAAAGCAGCCGGCAGAAAGACUGGCUGCCCAGGUGGAAAUGAAGUGCCAGCUCAUCGACCGGCUUUACGUGGGUAGACAGGAGUGUGCCAGGGUGGAGACAGCUUUGAAGAACGCCGGGCGAGAGAAGGAGCCAGCAAACAUACCCGGCCUCGCUGCCGCUUACAGACACUUGGUGUCCGUCAACCUGAGUUCCAGGAAGGAAGUCACUUGUGUCAUCGAAGAACUGAGGAAAGAGAGAUUCCCUGCAGUUGAUUCAAGCAGAGAUGGCGGAGAUGCAGAGAGUGCUGGCGUUCCUGGAGGAGGUCACCACAAGCAGCACAUCGCAAGGGGCUGUUCCCACCGAGCCGGGAGACCCUGCGCCAAGCCCUGCUGGUCCCUCUCCCAGGAGCGGGCCCUCGUGUUAAAGCCGCGCUGUGCCCUCCCCUCUCACCCAGGCCUCCCAAGCUGCCGGGCUGCGGGCACUCACCCGGUCAGAUCUCCUCCUGCGCUGCCCUGAGGCCAGUGGAUGGAGGGCAGUCCCCUCCUUUGGACCAGAGUUCCUGCAGCUGUACCCGUGAGCACAGCAGUGAACACCUGCACGGUCAACUUCUCCAUCUUCAAUGUAUUCGAAUUCCCAGAACACACCAAGGAACGUGGGACUUUCUCAGUAUUCACAGACUGCUUGGAUUGUCUCUAAUUGGCAAUGAAGGAAAUGUGUUUAAGAGACUGAUCUUUUACUCAGUUUGACCUUCCUUGCACCCCAUUUCUCAAGGCAGUUUUAGUAACUAUUAUACAUCAGCUGUGUAAGAGAACUGUAUAUACAGGUUUCUGUACACAAAUAUUGCAGUGUCAUUUGAUAAUAUGUGUACUUUAUCUGUAAAGGCUUUUAGUUGGCCACGGUAUUCUUUCUAGAGUUAAAAUCUUAAAAGUCAUCAGUUUAAGCUAAAGAAAUAUUUAUUCCUGAGUUUUGUAUUUAAAAAAAACCAACAAAGCCUUUGAGAUGAUAAUAGAGUAUGCUUGUAAGAGUUUUUAUUGAAUAGUUAUAUUCUGUGAUAAGGAUAGAUACACUUAAAAAUAAAUUUGCUAAAUUGCA